RNAcentral lists this long non-coding RNA (488 nucleotides) under Carica papaya (papaya). RNAcentral describes it as "long non-coding RNA (CPAP_LNC014023)". Lineage: Eukaryota; Viridiplantae; Streptophyta; Magnoliopsida; Brassicales; Caricaceae. The record is from RNAcentral.
AAGUAACUGGAAUAGGCAAGAUGGUUUGCUUGAGUUCCCACCAACGGUCUGCUUCUCCCACUAGCAUGUAGGUAGCAAGGGCGACCCUCUGUUCGGGAGUCACCCCUAGGGUCUUGAAGGCCUUCUCCGUCUCCGCCAACCAGUACUGGGCAUCUUCAAAAAAGGAUUCCUCUAUAAAAGUAGAUGGGUUCAGUCUCCUGUACCUCUCUAUGUAGGCUGGGUCAAUCGUGGGAGGAACUGGAUCCCGUGGAAGAGGGACUAGGCCAGGCUUAGGAUAGAUUGGGGGCCCCUGUGGUGGUACUUGCUGAUACAGUGGGGGCACUAGAUUAUACUGUGGUGGUGCCAGGUGGUACUGUGGAGGAGCAGGGUCGUACCGGGGUGGCUCAGGAUCCUCUCGAUGUAGUGGUGGCUAAACCUGUGGCAGCGAGGGAGGGUCAAGUAGCUCCCUCCUCUCCUCUCGACCCUGCUGGGCAGCAAUGAGUCUCUCC